CAACGGACUUUUAAUCCGUAGGUCCAGGGUUCGAAUCCCUGCCGACUCACCA
RNAcentral lists this transfer RNA (52 nucleotides) under Rhodospirillaceae bacterium. Its description in RNAcentral is "tRNA-Ser". It matches the Rfam family "tRNA", at positions 24 to 71 of the family's 71-position model. From Rfam's summary of the family: Transfer RNA (tRNA) molecules are approximately 80 nucleotides in length. Lineage: Bacteria; Pseudomonadati; Pseudomonadota; Alphaproteobacteria; Rhodospirillales; Rhodospirillaceae. The record is from RNAcentral.